AAAUUUUCAAAAAAAUUUAUUUUCCCAUGUUGUCCGUAGAGUCCGUUUGGUUAGGGACGAGAAUACAUUCUUGAAUUGGGUUGACAAAAUGCAUAUUAAAAAAUUAACUAUUUAAUGCAUCAACUGGUAGGGAAAGAAGAUGAAAAGAUAACUAAAAACUUCAUGAACUGGUUCUUUUACCCCGUUUGAUCCAUGUUUAAUAUAGAGAAUAUAUUAGGAAAUUUGUUCCUUUUGACCUGAUGAAAUUUCCAUUCCUAAGUUUGGUGAGUUGGAAAGAAGCUUAGGAUGUGCAAUGGAAGAGGACCUUACAGCACAAGUAUAGAAACAAAAACGUUGUUACUUCUUGAAUGAUUUUUAUCUCAUAAAAUCAUCUAAAUUGUAAACAUUAUACUCAAAAUAGAAAUUUACAAUGUUUGUCAAAGAUAAACAAUACUUACUUUUUUUACAAAAUGGUUUCAAGUGUAUCAUUACUUCAGUUACAUGCACAGUAAACAUGAUAAAUUCAAAGUGUCCAAACUACCUUCUAAGUUCUGACUUCUGAUAACUCCAACCAUGCACUUUCUUUUUGGCCAUUAUCAGUUUGGAAUUAGUACAUAAAACAAAAUCCAGAAUCCUUGUUAAACCAAUUUAACAAAAUGGGUUUUGUUGGAUAUCUAUAUGCAGAGGUCCAUGGACAGUUUGUGUUCAUAAAAUUAUUGUGGUCCAUAUUCUGAAAGUAAUUCUUCAAUGAGAUUGAUUCUGAAAAAUUCUCCUUCUGGUGAAAUGCUAUAAUUACAUUAUAUUGUUGCUUUCCUACAGUCUACAGAUGUAGUUUGAUAUGUAGAUGAGGGUUAGACUGAGGGUUAAAAUAAAUUUUGAUUGUUGGAUUGAUCAAAAUCGUACCAACCAAACCAAAACUG
This 899-nucleotide unclassified non-coding RNA is filed under the name Hevea brasiliensis (rubber tree). The record is from RNAcentral. Lineage: Eukaryota; Viridiplantae; Streptophyta; Magnoliopsida; Malpighiales; Euphorbiaceae.